RNAcentral lists this ribosomal RNA (1372 nucleotides) under uncultured bacterium. RNAcentral's name for it is "bacterial SSU rRNA". It matches the Rfam family "Bacterial small subunit ribosomal RNA", at positions 28 to 1381 of the family's 1533-position model. The record is from RNAcentral.
GAUGAACGCUGGCGGCGUGCCUAAUACAUGCAAGUCGAGCGAACGGACGAGAAGCUUGCUUCUCUGAUGUUAGCGGCGGACGGGUGAGUAACACGUGGAUAACCUACCUAUAAGACUGGGAUAACUUCGGGAAACCGGAGCUAAUACCGGAUAAUAUUUUGAACCGCAUGGUUCAAAAGUGAAAGACGGUCUUGCUGUCACUUAUAGAUGGAUCCGCGCUGCAUUAGCUAGUUGGUAAGGUAACGGCUUACCAAGGCAACGAUGCAUAGCCGACCUGAGAGGGUGAUCGGCCACACUGGAACUGAGACACGGUCCAGACUCCUACGGGAGGCAGCAGUAGGGAAUCUUCCGCAAUGGGCGAAAGCCUGACGGAGCAACCCCGCGUGAGUGAUGAAGGUCUUCGGAUCGUAAAACUCUGUUAUUAGGGAAGAACAUAUGUGUAAGUAACUGUGCACAUCUUGACGGUACCUAAUCAGAAAGCCACGGCUAACUACGUGCCAGCAGCCGCGGUAAUACGUAUGUGGCAAGCGUUAUCCGGAAUUAUUGGGGGUAAAGCGCGCGUAGGCGGUUUUUUAAGUCUGAUGUGAAAGCCCACGGCUCAACCGUGGAGGGUCAUUGGAAACUGGAAAACUUGAGUGCAGAAGAGGAAAGUGGAAUUCCAUGUGUAGCGGUGAAAUGCGCAGAGAUAUGGAGGAACACCAGUGGCGAAGGCGACUUUCUGGUCUGUAACUGACGCUGAUGUGCGAAAGCGUGGGGAUCAAACAGGAUUAGAUACCCUGGUAGUCCACGCCGUAAACGAUGAGUGCUAAGUGUUAGGGGGUUUCCGCCCCUUAGUGCUGCAGCUAACGCAUUAAGCACUCCGCCUGGGGAGUACGACCGCAAGGUUGAAACUCAAAGGAAUUGACGGGGACCCGCACAAGCGGUGGAGCAUGUGGUUUAAUUCGAAGCAACGCGAAGAACCUUACCAAAUCUUGACAUCCUUUGACAACUCUAGAGAUAGAGCCUUCCCCUUCGGGGGACAAAGUGACAGGUGGUGCAUGGUUGUCGUCAGCUCGUGUCGUGAGAUGUUGGGUUAAGUCCCGCAACGAGCGCAACCCUUAAGCUUAGUUGCCAUCAUUAAGUUGGGCACUCUAAGUUGACUGCCGGUGACAAACCGGAGGAAGGUGGGGAUGACGUCAAAUCAUCAUGCCCCUUAUGAUUUGGGCUACACACGUGCUACAAUGGACAAUACAAAGGGCAGCGAAACCGCGAGGUCAAGCAAAUCCCAUAAAGUUGUUCUCAGUUCGGAUUGUAGUCUGCAACUCGACUACAUGAAGCUGGAAUCGCUAGUAAUCGUAGAUCAGCAUGCUACGGUGAAUACGUUCCCGGGUCU